AACGAACGCUGGCGGCAUGCCUAACACAUGCAAGUCGAACGAGACCUUCGGGUCUAGUGGCGCACGGGUGCGUAACGCGUGGGAACCUGCCCUUAGGUUCGGAAUAACUCCCCGAAAGGGGUGCUAAUACCGGAUAAUGUCUUCGGACCAAAGAUUUAUCGCCUUUGGAUGGGCCCGCGUUGGAUUAGCUAGUUGGUAGGGUAAAAGCCUACUAAGGCGACGAUCCAUAGCUGGUCUGAGAGGAUGAUCAGCCACACUGGGACUGGGACACGGCCCAGACUCCUACGGGAGGCAGCAGUGGGGAAUAUUGGACAAUGGGCGAAAGCCUGAUCCAGCAAUGCCGCGUGAGUGAUGAAGGCCUUAGGGUUGUAAAGCUCUUUUACCCGGGAUGAUAAUGACAGUACCGGGAGAAUAAGCUCCGGCUAACUCCGUG
RNAcentral lists this ribosomal RNA (433 nucleotides) under uncultured bacterium. RNAcentral describes it as "partial 16S ribosomal RNA". It matches the Rfam family "Bacterial small subunit ribosomal RNA", at positions 29 to 507 of the family's 1533-position model. The record is from RNAcentral.